Molecule: ribosomal RNA, 979 nt
Filed under: uncultured bacterium
Lineage: Bacteria
Description: bacterial SSU rRNA
Rfam family: Bacterial small subunit ribosomal RNA
Source: RNAcentral
UGCGUCUUGGCCGGCAGCUACACAUGCAAGUCGAGCGGCAGCGGGUCCUUCGGGAUGCCGGCGAGCGGCGGACGGGUGAGUAAUGCCUAGGAAUCUGCCUGGUAGUGGGGGAUAACUCGGGGAAACUCGAGCUAAUACCGCAUACGUCCUACGGGAGAAAGCGGGGGAUCUUCGGACCUCGCGCUACCAGAUGAGCCUAGGUCGGAUUAGCUAGUUGGUGAGGUAAAGGCUCACCAAGGCGACGAUCCGUAGCUGGUCUGAGAGCAUGAUCAGCCACACUGGAACUGAGACACGGUCCAGACUCCUACGGGAGGCAGCAGUGGGGAAUAUUGGACAAUGGGCGAAAGCCUGAUCCAGCCAUGCCGCGUGUGUGAAGAAGGUCUUCGGAUUGUAAAGCACUUUAAGUUGGGAGGAAGGGCAGUAAGCUAAUACCUUGCUGUUUUGACGUUACCGACAGAAUAAGCACCGGCUAACUUCGCGCCAGCAGCCGCGGUAAUACGAAGGGUGCAAGCGUUAAUCGGAAUUACUGGGCGUAAAGCGCGCGUAGGUGGUUUGAUAAGUUGGAUGUGAAAGCCCCGGGCUCAACCUGGGAAUUGCAUCCAAAACUGUCUGACUAGAGUAUGGCAGAGGGUGGUGGAAUUUCCUGUGUAGCGGUGAAAUGCGUAGAUAUAGGAAGGAACACCAGUGGCGAAGGCGACCACCUGGGCUAAUACUGACACUGAGGUGCGAAAGCGUGGGGAGCAAACAGGAUUAGAUACCCUGGUAGUCCACGCCGUAAACGAUGUCGACUAGCCGUUGGGAUCCUUGAGAUCUUAGUGGCGCAGCUAACGCAUUAAGUCGACCGCCUGGGGAGUACGGCCGCAAGGUUAAAACUCAAAUGAAUUGACGGGGCCCGCACAGCGGUGAGCAUGUGGUUUAUUCGAAGCAACGCGAAGACCUUACCAGGCCUUGAACAUGCAGAAGAACUUUCCAGAGAUGA